CUACGGAGGGUGCAAGCGUUACUCGGAAUCACUGGGCGUAAAGCGCGCGCAGGCGGUCUUUUAAGUUGGAUGUGAGAGCCUACAGCUCAACUGUAGAACUGCAUCCAAAACUAUUAGACUAGAGUCUGGGAGGGGGAGAUGGAAUUAGUUGUGUAGGGGUAAAAUCCGUAGAGAUAACUAGGAAUACCAAAAGCGAAGGCGAUCUUCUGGAACAGUUCUGACGCUGAGGCGCGAAAGCGUGGGGAGCAAACAGGAUUAGAAACCCCAGUAGUCC
This 274-nucleotide ribosomal RNA is filed under the name uncultured bacterium. RNAcentral's name for it is "partial 16S ribosomal RNA". It matches the Rfam family "Bacterial small subunit ribosomal RNA", at positions 523 to 796 of the family's 1533-position model. The record is from RNAcentral.